Molecule: long non-coding RNA, 250 nt
Filed under: Gossypium barbadense (sea-island cotton)
Lineage: Eukaryota; Viridiplantae; Streptophyta; Magnoliopsida; Malvales; Malvaceae
Description: long non-coding RNA (GBAR_LNC018396)
Source: RNAcentral
GAUGGACAAAAAUUGGCUUUUAAUUUUGUUUUUAAUUCAUUUUAAUAACUAAAUGACCAAAAUACCCUUAAUGAAAAACUUUGGAAACAUGCCUAGCCAUUUCUCAUUUUUGUCCACCAACUUAACCAAUGGUCUAAUUACCAUAUAAAGACCUCCAAUUUAAAAUUUCAUAAGAAUUGGGCACCUCUAACAUAUAGAACUCAACUUUUGCACUUUUUACAAUUUAGUCCUUUUGACUAAACUGAGUGCC